UUAGAUACCCUGGUAGUCCACGCCGUAAACGAUGAUCACCAGGUGUCGGGGGUUAACAGACCCCCGGUGCCGAAGCCAACGCAUUAAGUGAUCCACCUGGGGAGUACGUUCGCAAGAAUGAAACUCAAAGGAAUUGACGGGGACCCGCGCAAGCGGUGGAGCAUGUGGUUUAAUUCGAAGCAACGCGAAGAACCUUACCCGGCCUUGACAUCCUCCUGGAUGUCCGGUAAUGCGGACAGACCUUCGGGGCAGGAGAGACAGGUGGUGCAUGGUUGUCGUCAGCUCGUGUCGUGAGAUGUUGGGUUAAGUCCCGCAACGAGCGCAACCCUUAUCCCCAGUAGCCAGCAGGAGAGCUGGGCACUCUGGGGAGACAGCCGGGGAUAACCCGGAGGAAGGUGGGGAUGACGUCAAAUCAUCAUGCCCCUUAUGGCCGGGGCGACACACGUGCUACAAUGGCGUAAACAAAGGGAAGCGAGCCGGUGACGGUGGGCAAAUCCCAAAAAUAACGUCCCAGUUCGGAUUGUAGUCUGCAACCCGACUACAUGAAGCUGGAAUCGCUAGUAAUCGCGGAUCAGAAUGCCGCGGUGAAUACGUUCCCGGGUCUUGUACACACCGCCCGUCACACCAUGGNGAGUCNGAAAUGCCCGAAGUCAGUGACCCAACCGGAAGGANNGGACUGCCGAANGCCAGUCCCGUAACUGGGGUGAAGUCGUAACAAGG
RNAcentral lists this ribosomal RNA (720 nucleotides) under uncultured bacterium. Its description in RNAcentral is "bacterial SSU rRNA". It matches the Rfam family "Bacterial small subunit ribosomal RNA", at positions 778 to 1496 of the family's 1533-position model. The record is from RNAcentral.